AGCAGCCGCGGUAAUUCCAGCUCCAAUAGCGUAUAUUAAAGUUGUUGCAGUUAAAAAGCUCGUAGUUGAAUUUCGGGGUUAGUAGGUUGGUCAUGCCUCUGGUAUGUACUGGUCUCACUGAUUCCUCCUUCCUUAUGAACCGUAAUGCCAUUAAUUUGGUGUUGCGGGGAAUUUGGACUGUUACUUUGAAAAAAUUAGAGUGUUUAAAGCAAGCUAACGCUUGAAUACAUUAGCAUGGAAUAAUGAAAUAGGACGUUCGAUCUUAUUUUGUUGGUUUCUAGGAUUGACGUAAUGAUUAAUAGGGAUAGUUGGGGGCAUUAGUAUUCAAUUGUCAGAGGUGAAAUUCUUGGAUUUAUUGAAGACUAACUACUGCGAAAGCAUUUGCCAAGGAUGUUUUCAUUAAUCAAGAACGAAAGUUAGGGGAUCGAAGACGAUCAGAUACCGUCGUAGUCUUAACCAUAAACUAUGCCGACUAGGGAUCGGAUGACGUUAAUUUUUUAAUGACUCA
Molecule: ribosomal RNA, 508 nt
Filed under: uncultured glomeraceous AM fungus
Lineage: Eukaryota; Fungi; Glomeromycota; Glomeromycetes; Glomerales; Glomeraceae
Description: SSU rRNA
Rfam family: Eukaryotic small subunit ribosomal RNA
Source: RNAcentral